This 107-nucleotide small nuclear RNA is filed under the name Propithecus coquereli (Coquerel's sifaka). The record is from RNAcentral. Lineage: Eukaryota; Metazoa; Chordata; Mammalia; Primates; Indriidae.
GUGUUCACUUGGGCAGCACAUAUACUAAAAUUGGAACCAUACAGAGAAGAUUAGCAUGGCCCCUGCGCAAGGAUGAUACAAUUUUAAAUUAAAAAAUAAAUAAAUAA